UACGGAGGAUCCGAGCGUUAUCCGGAUUUAUUGGGUUUAAAGGGUGCGCAGGCGGAAGAUUAAGUCGGUGGUGAAAUUUUGCAGCUCAACUGUAAAAGUGCCUUCGAAACUGGUUUCCUUGAGUGUAGAUGAAGUAGGCGGGAUUUGUGGUGUAGCGGUGAAAUGCAUAGAUAUCACGAGGAACUCCGAUUGCGCAGGCAGCUUACUAAACUACUACUGACGCUCAGGCACGAAGGCGUGGGGAUCAAACAGGAUUAGAUACCCGGGUAGUCCCU
This 275-nucleotide ribosomal RNA is filed under the name uncultured prokaryote. Its description in RNAcentral is "partial 16S ribosomal RNA". It matches the Rfam family "Bacterial small subunit ribosomal RNA", at positions 524 to 798 of the family's 1533-position model. The record is from RNAcentral.